RNAcentral lists this ribosomal RNA (254 nucleotides) under uncultured bacterium. Its description in RNAcentral is "partial 16S ribosomal RNA". It matches the Rfam family "Bacterial small subunit ribosomal RNA", at positions 524 to 776 of the family's 1533-position model. The record is from RNAcentral.
CACGUAGGGGGCGAGCGUUGUCCGGAUUUAUUGGGCGUAAAGAGCUCGUAGGCGGCUCAGUAAGUCAGGUGUGAAAACUCCAGGCUCAACCUGGAGACGCCACCUGAUACUGCUGUGGCUAGAGUCCGGUAGGGGAGCAUGGAAUUCCCGGUGUAGCGGUGAAAUGCGCGGAUAUCGGGAAGAACACCCGUGGCGAAGGCGGCUCUCUGGGACGGUACUGACGCUGAGACGCGAAAGCGUGGGGAGCGAACAGG